CCUACGGGUGGCAGCAGUGGGGAAUAUUGGACAAUGGGCGAAAGCCUGAUCCAGCCAUGCCGCGUGUGUGAAGAAGGCCUUCGGGUUGUAAAGCACUUUCAGUGGGGAAGAAAGCCUUGGGGCUAAUACCCUCGAGGAAGGACAUCACCCACAGAAGAAGCACCGGCUAACUCCGUGCCAGCAGCCGCGGUAAUACGGAGGGUGCGAGGCGUUAAUCGGAAUUACUGGGCGUAAAGCGCGCGUAGGCGGUCUGAUAAGCCGGUUGUGAAAGCCCCGGGCUCAACCUGGGAACGGCAUCCGGAACUGUCAGGCUAGAGUGCAGGAGAGGAAGGUAGAAUUCCCGGUGUAGCGGUGAAAUGCGUAGAGAUCGGGAGGAAUACCAGUGGCGAAGGCGGCCUUCUGGACUGACACUGACGCUGAGGUGCGAAAGCGUGGGUAGCAAACAGGAUUAGAUACCCUUGUAGUC
This 466-nucleotide ribosomal RNA is filed under the name Vreelandella stevensii. Its description in RNAcentral is "partial 16S ribosomal RNA". It matches the Rfam family "Bacterial small subunit ribosomal RNA", at positions 338 to 795 of the family's 1533-position model. The record is from RNAcentral. Lineage: Bacteria; Pseudomonadati; Pseudomonadota; Gammaproteobacteria; Oceanospirillales; Halomonadaceae.